GGGGUUGUAGCUCAGUGGUAGAGCGCUUGCCUAGCAUGUGUGAGACCCUGGGUUCGAUCCUCAGCACCA
RNAcentral lists this transfer RNA (69 nucleotides) under Marmota marmota marmota (Alpine marmot). It matches the Rfam family "tRNA". Rfam says of the family: Transfer RNA (tRNA) molecules are approximately 80 nucleotides in length. Lineage: Eukaryota; Metazoa; Chordata; Mammalia; Rodentia; Sciuridae. RNAcentral also lists the same sequence under 2 other names. The record is from Rfam by way of RNAcentral.